This 253-nucleotide ribosomal RNA is filed under the name uncultured bacterium. RNAcentral's name for it is "partial 16S ribosomal RNA". It matches the Rfam family "Bacterial small subunit ribosomal RNA", at positions 524 to 776 of the family's 1533-position model. The record is from RNAcentral.
UACGUAGGUGGCGAGCGUUGUCCGGAUUUACUGGGCGUAAAGAGCGCGCAGGCGGUCGUACAAGUCGCGUGUGAAAGCCCCCGGCUCAACUGGGGAGGGUCAUUCGAUACUGAUCGACUCGAAGGCAGGAGAGGGUAGUGGAAUUCCCGGUGUAGUGGUGAAAUGCGUAGAUAUCGGGAGGAACACCAGUGGCGAAGGCGACUUCCUGGCCUGUUCUUGACGCUGAGGCGCGAAAGCUAGGGGAGCAAACGGG